Molecule: ribosomal RNA, 434 nt
Filed under: uncultured bacterium
Lineage: Bacteria
Description: partial 16S ribosomal RNA
Rfam family: Bacterial small subunit ribosomal RNA
Source: RNAcentral
AGCGAACGCUGGCGGCAGGCCUAACACAUGCAAGUCGAACGAACCUUUCGGGGUUAGUGGCGGACGGGUGAGUAACACGUGGGAACGUGCCUUUAGGUUCGGAAUAACUCAGGGAAACUUGUGCUAAUACCGAAUGUGCCCUUCGGGGGAAAGAUUUAUCGCCUUUAGAGCGGCCCGCGUCUGAUUAGCUAGUUGGUUGAGGUAAUGGCUCACCAAGGCGACGAUCAGUAGCUGGUCUGAGAGGAUGAUCAGCCACAUUGGGACUGAGACACGGCCCAAACUCCUACGGGAGGCAGGAGUGGGGGAUCUUGCGCAAUGGGCGAAAGCCUGACGCAGCCAUGCCGCGUGAAUGAUGAAGGUCUGAGGAUUGUAAAAUUCUUUCACCGGGGACGGUAAUGACGGUACCCGAAGAAGAAGCCCCGGCUAACUUCGUG